UGCCUAGGAAUCUGCCUGGUAGUGGGGGAUAACGUUCGGAAACGGACGCUAAUACCGCAUACGUCCUACGGGAGAAAGCAGGGGACCUUCGGGCCUUGCGCUAUCAGAUGAGCCUAGGUCGGAUUAGCUAGUUGGUGAGGUAAUGGCUCACCAAGGCGACGAUCCGUAACUGGUCUGAGAGGAUGAUCAGUCACACUGGAACUGAGACACGGUCCAGACUCCUACGGGAGGCAGCAGUGGGGAAUAUUGGACAAUGGGCGAAAGCCUGAUCCAGCCAUGCCGCGUGUGUGAAGAAGGUCUUCGGAUUGUAAAGCACUUUAAGUUGGGAGGAAGGGUUGUAGAUUAAUACUCUGCAAUUUUGACGUUACCGACAGAAUAAGCACCGGCUAACUCUGUGCCAGCAGCCGCGGUAAUACAGAGGGUGCAAGCGUUAAUCGGAAUUACUGGGCGUAAAGCGCGCGUAGGUGGUUUGUUAAGUUGGAUGUGAAAUCCCCGGGCUCAACCUGGGAACUGCAUUCAAAACUGACUGACUAGAGUAUGGUAGAGGGUGGUGGAAUUUCCUGUGUAGCGGUGAAAUGCGUAGAUAUAGGAAGGAACACCAGUGGCGAAGGCGACCACCUGGACUAAUACUGACACUGAGGUGCGAAAGCGUGGGGAGCAAACAGGAUUAGAUACCCUGGUAG
This 683-nucleotide ribosomal RNA is filed under the name Bacillus pumilus. RNAcentral's name for it is "bacterial SSU rRNA". It matches the Rfam family "Bacterial small subunit ribosomal RNA", at positions 114 to 793 of the family's 1533-position model. The record is from RNAcentral. Lineage: Bacteria; Bacillati; Bacillota; Bacilli; Caryophanales; Bacillaceae.